This is a non-coding RNA of Thermoplasmatales archaeon SG8-52-2, 75 nucleotides long. The record is from Rfam. NCBI's taxonomy places the organism in Archaea, Methanobacteriati, Thermoplasmatota, Thermoplasmata, Thermoplasmatales.
GGGCCCGUAGGGUAGCUUGGUCGAUCCUUUUAGCUUUGGGAGCUAGAGACUCCAGUUCAAAUCUGGGCGGGCCCA